This 1148-nucleotide ribosomal RNA is filed under the name Pristimantis curtipes (Intac robber frog). RNAcentral's name for it is "partial large subunit ribosomal RNA". It matches the Rfam family "Bacterial large subunit ribosomal RNA", at positions 844 to 2799 of the family's 2925-position model. Lineage: Eukaryota; Metazoa; Chordata; Amphibia; Anura; Strabomantidae. The record is from RNAcentral.
GAUAGCUGGUUUCUCAAUAAAAGAAUUUUAGUCCAACCUAAAGCAAUAAAUAUAUACACAAAUUGACCCUUCGCUUUAGAGCAAUUCAAAUAAGGUACAGCCUAUUUGAUACAGGACCCAACCUUAAUUAAUGGGUAAUUCUCGAUUCACAUUUAUAAGUAGGCCUAAGAGCAGCCAUCUUUUUAAAAGCGUCAUAGCUUAACCAUAUUAUCCUAAUUUCUUUAUCCCACGUGACCCCUUUAAUUAUACUGAGAACUUCUAUAAAAUUAUAGAACUUUUUAUGCUAAAACUAGUAACAAGAGGUAACCCCCUCUCUAUAAUGCAAAUAUAACCCAGCAAGAACCCACCACUGGCAACUAACAGACCUAAACAAAAGUAGCAACCCAUCUAGAAAACCCUACCCUUAUAACUGUUAACCUAAUACUAGAGCAUUUCAAGAAAGAUUAAAAGAAAAAGAAGGAAUUCGGCAAAUAUUAGCCCCGCCUGUUUACCAAAAACAUCGCCUCUUGCCACCAUAAGAGGUCUAGCCUGCCCAGUGACUUCUGUUCAACGGCCGCGGUAUCCUAACCGUGCGAAGGUAGCGUAAUCACUUGUUUCCUAAAUAGAGACCAGUAUGAAAGGCAUCACGAGGACUAAACUGUCUCCUUUCUCUAAUCAGUGAACCUAAUCUCCCCGUGAAGAAGCGCUUUCAUACUCAGGUAUUCUCCCCCGUGACACGCUGAUUUUAUGUUUUUGGUUGGGGUGACCGCGGAGAAAAAUUUAUCCUCCACAAUGAAGGGGAUUUUCCCUGAACAGUAAGCUACAACUUUAUGUACCAGUAAACUGACAUCCAUUGACCCAAUAUAUUGAUUAACGAACCAAGUUACCCUAGGGAUAACAGCGCAAUCCACUUUGAGAGCCCCUAUCGACAAGUGGGCUUACGACCUCGAUGUUGGAUCGGGGUAUCCUAGUGGUGCAGCCGCUACUAAAGGUUCGUUUGUUCAACGAUUAAAACCCCACGUGAUCUGAGUUCAGACCGGAGCAAUCCAGGUCAGUUUCUAUCUAUAAAAGAGCUUUCUUUAGUACGAAAGGACCAAAAUAGCAUGGCCAAUGUCUAUACAAGCCAUAGUUAAUUAUUUUUGAAUUUCAUCUCAAAAAAUUAUCAACCU